Molecule: ribosomal RNA, 1226 nt
Filed under: metagenome
Description: bacterial SSU rRNA
Rfam family: Bacterial small subunit ribosomal RNA
Source: RNAcentral
CGACUUCGGUUGGAAGAGUAAAGUGGCGCACGGGUGAGUAACGCGUGGGUAACCUGCCCUCGAAUCUGGAAUAACUUCGCGAAAGCGUUGCUAAUACCGGAUAUUGUCCUUUUUGCCGUGGCAUUUGGGAUAAAAGAUGACCUCUUCAUGAAAGUUGUCGUUUGGGGAGGGGCUCGCGUACCAUUAGCUUGUUGGUAGGGUAAUGGCCUACCAAGGCUACGAUGGUUAGCUGGUCUGAGAGGAUGAUCAGCCACACUGGAACUGAAACACGGUCCAGACUCCUACGGGAGGCAGCAGUGAGGAAUUUUGCGCAAUGGGGGAAACCCUGACGCAGCAACGCCGCGUGAGUGAAGAAGGCUUUCGGGUCGUAAAGCUCUGUCAAGUGGGAAAAAAAUCUCAUGAUGAAAGUCAUGAGGCUUGAUGGUACCACUGGAGGAAGCACCGGCUAACUCCGUGCCAGCAGCCGCGGUAAUACGGAGGGUGCAAGCGUUGAUCGGAAUUAUUGGGCGUAAAGAGCGUGUAGGCGGUAUGGUAAGUCAGAUGUGAAAGCCCUGGGCUCAACCCAGGAAGUGCAUUUGAUACUGCCAUUCUUGAGUAUGGGAGAGGAGAGUGGAAUUCCUAGUGUAGAGGUGAAAUUCGUAGAUAUUAGGAGGAACACCCGUGGCGAAGGCGGCUCUCUGGACCAAUACUGACGCUGAGACGCGAAAGCGUGGGGAGCAAACAGGAUUAGAUACCCUGGUAGUCCACGCCGUAAACGAUGAGAACUAGGUGUAGCGGGUAUUGACCCCUGCUGUGCCGAAGUUAACGCAUUAAGUUCUCCGCCUGGGGAGUACGGCCGCAAGGCUAAAACUCAAAGGAAUUGACGGGGACCCGCACAAGCGGUGGAGCAUGUGGUUUAAUUCGACGCAACGCGAAGAACCUUACCUGGAUUUGACAUCCUCUGACAACCCUAGAAAUAGGGCCUUUCCGACUUGUCGGAACAGAGUGACAGGUGCUGCAUGGCUGUCGUCAGCUCGUGUCGUGAGAUGUUGGGUUAAGUCCCGCAACGGGCGCAACCCUUGUUUUUAGUUGCCAGUAUUAAGUUAGGCACUCUAAAGAUACUGCCUCGGUUAACGGGGAGGAAGGUGGGGAUGACGUCAAGUCCUCAUGGCCUUUAUAUCCAGGGCUACACACGUGCUACAAUGGACUGUACAAAGGGUCGCGACACCGCGAGGUGAAGCUAAUCU